UCAUGAAGUCGGAAUCGCUAGUAAUCGCAUAUCAGAACGAUGCGGUGAAUACGUUCCCGGGCCUUGUACACACCGCCCGUCACUACCACGAAAGUUUGUUGUACCCGAAGUCGGUGCCUUAACCUCGCAAGAGGAGAGAGCCGCCCAAGGUAUGGCCGAUGAUUGGGGUGAAGUCGUAACAAGGUAGCCGUAGGGGAACCUGCGGCUGGAUCACCUCCUUUCUAGGAGAGAAGGGGUCCUGGAUGAAGCGCUCCUAUUUAGUCUUGUGAAGGAUCCGAGUGGAAGCCGGGACCGGAGAAAGACCGGGCCUGUAGCUCAGAUGGUGAGAGCGCACGCCUGAUAAGCGUGAGGUCGAUAGUUCGAAUCUAUCCAGGCCCACCAUCUGCGG
RNAcentral lists this ribosomal RNA (388 nucleotides) under uncultured bacterium. RNAcentral describes it as "partial 16S ribosomal RNA". The stretch from base 1 to 221 matches the Rfam family "Bacterial small subunit ribosomal RNA", at positions 1318 to 1533 of the family's 1533-position model. The record is from RNAcentral.